UACGUAGGGUGCAAGCAUUAUCCGGAAUUACUGGGCGUAAAGCGUUACGUCGGCGGGAAGGUAAGUAGUAGAUCUAAGCCUGGGGCUCAACCCCAGACCGGUUUGCUAGACUGCCUUUCUUGAGUAUGUUAGAGGGAACUGGAACUCUUUGUGGAGGGGUGAAAUCCGUAGAUAUAAAGAGGAACGCCAAGGGUGAAGACAGGUUCCUGGGACAUUACUGACGCUCAUGUACGACAGCUAGGGUAGCAAAAGGG
RNAcentral lists this ribosomal RNA (254 nucleotides) under uncultured bacterium. RNAcentral describes it as "partial 16S ribosomal RNA". It matches the Rfam family "Bacterial small subunit ribosomal RNA", at positions 524 to 776 of the family's 1533-position model. The record is from RNAcentral.